CACGUGACAAAAUAAAUUGAGUUGUACAACGGAAAAACUGGAUCAAUAAUAAGCCUAUUUAAGGGUUAUGUUUACAUAUACAGUGCACACUUUGAAAAUGAUUUACUGGCAUAAAUAUGAGUUACAGUUUGCUUGGGUGUUAGAAGCUUCUCCAGUAUCUCCAGGCCUGAUAACUUUGAAUCUCAAUCUUGGUUUAAUACAAAGCCUCCGCUGGCUUAAUGAAGAUGAAAAUAUUAUCAUAUGCUGUGAAAAACUAUUUGUCCCCUUCCUGGUUUCUUAUUUUUGGUCUGUUUUUUUUUUUUUGUUUUGUUUGUUUUACAUAUUUGUCAAACAAAUUUAGUAUUAGACAAAGAUAACCUGAGUAACUACAUCAAAGUCAAAGUACUACCAUAUGAAGUAUUUAAAUGACAAUUUCAUUAAUUAAAGGGAAAAGUUAUCCAAACCUCGUCGUGACCGUUCCUUCAAAGUAGCUGAAUUGAAACAAAGAGUCGGUGCUGCAGAGAGUGGGUCACGGCACUGUGAAAGACUCACUGCCAGAGGUCACAUUCCCAAGUUUACUUUUUCACAUAGGAUCAAAUAGAUUUAGAUAUUUCUUUUUUUUUUUUCUUAAGUAAAAUUAUCAUUUAAAAACUGCUGCAUUUUGUAUUUACUCUGGCUAUCACUGCUGAUGUUCUGAAAUAUGCAAAUAAAAAAAACUGAAUAGAAGUCAAGAAGGAGGAAUUUAAAAAAAAUCCCCCUGCAGCCUGCACUUCAGUUUGUGAAUUAUUGGCUGAUUCACUUGUUUUCUCAAAAUUCCCUGUUUCUGAGAAACUAUUGGAGUGCUCGCCAUUGGAGGGGAGUAGAUCUGUAUCUAUGUUGUUCAUAUUUUUUGUUCUCUCUUGAGUAAAGCACUUCGUACCAUGUUGUGGUAUUCCUGGAGUUAGGGUUAGUAAAUAAAGAGAAACUAACUUUUUAUUUUCAAGGAAAUACAGAACACAGAGUUGAGUUACCAAAUUUAGAGCUGGAUACAAUUCUUAAAUUUAAAUGAAAUAAGCUUUCUUGUUUGAUCAUUAUAGAAGCCCUAUUAUCCUUCAACAUUAACCCAACCAUCGGGUUUCUUAAC
Astatotilapia calliptera (eastern happy) is the source of this 1102-nucleotide long non-coding RNA. NCBI's taxonomy places the organism in Eukaryota, Metazoa, Chordata, Actinopteri, Cichliformes, Cichlidae. The record is from Ensembl.